UAAACAUCAGGUACCUUGCUUUGAGUUC
Molecule: non-coding RNA, 28 nt
Filed under: Mus musculus (house mouse)
Lineage: Eukaryota; Metazoa; Chordata; Mammalia; Rodentia; Muridae
Source: RNAcentral